RNAcentral lists this unclassified non-coding RNA (377 nucleotides) under uncultured Chloroflexota bacterium. RNAcentral's name for it is "uncultured Chloroflexi bacterium contains 16S-23S intergenic spacer region". Lineage: Bacteria; Bacillati; Chloroflexota. The record is from RNAcentral.
UCCGGUUUGUCACCGGCAGUCUCCCUAGAGUGCCCUUGCGUAGCAACUAGGGACAAGGGUUGCGCUCGUUGCGGGACUUAACCCAACAUCUCACGACACGAGCUGACGACAGCCAUGCAGCACCUGUAUCAAAGUCUCCCAAAGGGAGUACUCCUCCGUUUCUGGAGGAUUCUAAGAUAUGUCAAACCCAGGUAAGGUUCUUCGCGUUGCCUCGAAUUAAACCACACGCUCCGCUGCUUGUGCGGGCCCCCGCCUAUUCCUUUGAGUUUUAACCUUGCGGCCGUAGUCCCCAGGCGGUGAACUUAAUGCGUUAGCUGCGGCACUGAUCGGGUCAAUCCGACCAACACCUAGUUCACAACGUUUAGGGCGUGGACUAC